RNAcentral lists this ribosomal RNA (480 nucleotides) under Sphenomorphus sp. steerei 6 CWL-2011. RNAcentral describes it as "partial 16S ribosomal RNA". It matches the Rfam family "Bacterial large subunit ribosomal RNA", at positions 1922 to 2597 of the family's 2925-position model. Lineage: Eukaryota; Metazoa; Chordata; Lepidosauria; Squamata; Scincidae. The record is from RNAcentral.
UUUCAACGGCCGCGGUAUUCUAACCGUGCAAAGGUAGCGUAAUCACUUGUCUCCUAAAUAGAGACCAGUAUGAACGGCUAAAUGAAGACAAACCUGUCUCUUACAACCUACCAGUGAAACUGACCUCCUAGUCCAAAGGCUAGGAUAAUAACAUAAGACGAGAAGACCCUGUGGAGCUUAAAAUAUAAAACUAACAAAGCCAAACAAUAGCACAACUAGUAAAAAUUUUGAGUUGGGGCGACUUCGGAACAAAACAAAACUUCCAAGCACAGAACCACUACUUCUAACCAAGGCCAACAAGCCGAAGCAAAAACUGACCCAGUCAUACUGAUCAACGAACCAAGUUACCCCAGGGAUAACAGCGCUAUCUUCUUCAAGAGUCCAUAUCGACAAGAAGGUUUACGACCUCGAUGUUGGAUCAGGACACCCAAAUGGUGCAGCCGCUAUUAAAGGUUCGUUUGUUCAACGAUUAACAGUCCU